Molecule: transfer RNA, 78 nt
Filed under: Alistipes sp. 58_9_plus
Lineage: Bacteria; Pseudomonadati; Bacteroidota; Bacteroidia; Bacteroidales; Rikenellaceae
Also listed under: 3 other names
Description: tRNA-Pro
Rfam family: tRNA
About the family: Transfer RNA (tRNA) molecules are approximately 80 nucleotides in length. Their secondary structure includes four short double-helical elements and three loops (D, anti-codon, and T loops).
Source: RNAcentral
CGGGAUGUAGCUCAGCCCGGUUAGAGUACACGUCUGGGGGGCGUGUUGUCGCUGGUUCGAAUCCAGUCAUCCCGACUA